GACGAACGCUGGCGGCGUGCUUAACACAUGCAAGUCGAACGGAAAGGCCCUGCUUGCCGGGUACUCGAGUGGCGAACGGGUGAGUAACACGUGGGUGAUCUGCCCUGCACUUCGGGAUAAGCCUGGGAAACUGGGUCUAAUACCGGAUAGGAGCCAUUUUUAGUGUGAUGGUUGGAAAGUUUUUUUCGGUGUAGGAUGAGCUCGCGGCCUAUCAGCUUGUUGGUGGGGUAAUGGCCUACCAAGGCGGCGACGGGUAGCCGGCCUGAGAGGGUGGACGGCCACAUUGGGACUGAGAUACGGCCCAGACUCCUACGGGAGGCAGCAGUGGGGAAUAUUGCACAAUGGGCGCAAGCCUGAUGCAGCGACGCCGCGUGGGGGAUGGCGGCCUUCGGGUUGUAAACUCCCUUCGCUAGGGACGAAGCUUUUUGUGACGGUACCUAGAUAAGAAGCACCGGCUAACUACGUG
This 466-nucleotide ribosomal RNA is filed under the name uncultured bacterium. RNAcentral's name for it is "partial 16S ribosomal RNA". It matches the Rfam family "Bacterial small subunit ribosomal RNA", at positions 28 to 507 of the family's 1533-position model. The record is from RNAcentral.